Molecule: ribosomal RNA, 975 nt
Filed under: Triticum aestivum (bread wheat)
Lineage: Eukaryota; Viridiplantae; Streptophyta; Magnoliopsida; Poales; Poaceae
Description: partial small subunit ribosomal RNA
Source: RNAcentral
AAUAGCACUAAUGUUCAUGUCAAAGUGAACCCUUUUAAGCACACAUGCCAGGAAUCAACCCUUAGGAAGGAUACAAUCAGUAGAGCCAAGUCAAGAUGGGUGGCAGAAGAAGUAAAGAAGUGGGUGAAAGAAAACCAGCAAGUGGGUCCAAAGGAAUUGCAGAAGAACAUCAAAGAUAAGUUCAAGAUAGAUUUACCAUACAUGAGGUUGUUCAAUGGUAAACAACAUGCUAUGAAUUCAAUUUAUGGUAACUGGCAGGAAAGUUUUCAAUUGUUGUAUUCAUUCAAAGGUGAAGUGGAGAGGACAAGCCCAGGUAGUAUUGUAGAUAUUGAUCACCACACCGUGGAGUACACAUUCAGGGGAGUGACAAAGACCAAGGAAUGCUUUAGGAGGGUUUUUGUCUGCUUUGAGGCUUGUCGCCGGGGUUUUUUGGCAGGCUGCAGGCCUUAUUUGGCUAUUGAUGCCACUUUUCUCACAGGGAGGUUUAAAGGACAGUUAGUAGCAGCUUGUGCAGUUGAUGCACAUAGUUUUGUAUUUCCAGUUGCCUAUGGUGUGCUGGAGACAGAGUCUGAGGAGAGUUGGACUUGGUUUUUGCAUAAUCUCCGCCGGGCUAUUGCGCAUCCCAAUGGGUUGGUCAUUCAUACAGAUGCCUGCAAAGGUUUAGAAGUGGCCGUGGACUAUGUGUUCCCUGGAGUAGAGCAUAGGGAAUGCAUGCGUCACCUUGCUGCAAAUUUCAUGAAGAAAUUCAAAGGAAAGGUGUAUACCGACAAUCUAUGGCCAUCAUCUUUGACAUGCAGUGUGAAGAAGCACAACUACCACUUGAGGCAGUUAUACAUGAAUCCCAAAGUGAAAGAAUACUUGGAAACACACCACUCCAAGUUAUGGGCCAGAAGCCAAUUCAGUAAAGUGAGCAAAGUUGACUAUGUGCACAAUAAUCUAGCAGAGUCUUUCAACUCAACGAUCCAGAAACUAAAG